UCGGUCUCUCAUUUAAAUUCUCUAAUUUCUCGUAAAAGGCUUCUGAUGUGACGUCACACUUCGGUGAUGGAACGUACUAUGUACGCCACCUAUCGAGCAAUAGUAUUUCGUGUUCUGAGGCCGUCCUUGUGACAGUCGGAAAGAAACUCAGCUGAGCUUUCACUUUUAGUUGGGAAUUGUUCAGAGUGGCAUGGGACUAAAUUUAGAUCAAGUACCGGUUAAUAUCUAGUUUAAAAAAAGAAAAAAUGUGAAUUCCAUUCCAACCCAUUGAGGAUUAUUUGGGAGAAAUAAUUAUUCUUCCAAUGGGGUUUUCUAUACAACACCAUCGAGUCUCAUGCCACUCCCUUGAAAACUUAGACCUCCCAGUACCAUCGGAGAGGUAGGACAAUUUCCAACCACAAGUCAUCCUGGGUAGUAAUUUUUGGGAACAAGCUAUUUGGGGGCAUUCCGGCUCCUUUUCAUUCUACACCUGGACCUACAGGAGGUACCAGUUCGUACCGUCCAGGUGCUCAUCUUGGGAUGCAGUAGCGGACUUUUAGGAGUCAUUUGGGAUUUGUUUGGGAACAUUUAAGUUUGUGUGGAUUUGAGUAACUAUAGUGUUUAUAUUUCAGACAUUUGGUUAAUGUAAUAUUUCUUUUCAAUUUAGCUUAACUUUGGUUUUUAUUAUAACAUAUUUUUAUAUUAGAUUGUUUGGUUCCCAAACUUUGUAUCUACGGUAACUUCUUGUGCACAGGAAUAAGCCUAGAGAAAAUUAGGUUUUUAAUGCUUUAUUAUUGCUUUGAUAUUGGUUUAUGUAAUUCGGGUAAAUUUAUUUUUUAAUAUUACUAGCUUGUUUCCCAAAUAUUUUACUGUUAUUCGCUUUAUUCCAUUUGUUCGGUUAAUUUAGGUCAUCGUCGGUAUUCAUCUCAACUUCAUUUCUACUUUAGUCAAUUGUAUAUUUAACUUUAUUUAUUCAUUAUUGUAUUUUCCCUUAGUGAGGCUUGGGCCUAUUUAUUUGUAGUAUUUUCAUCUUUGUCAGUUUCCUUUAGUUGUACGUAGCAGGCGUACUAUAACCAUUUGGUAGAAGACUCAUGUGAGUUGUACCCUAUAUAUAUGUAAGAGGUAUCUAAUUUUGUAAAAGAUAACAUUAGUGUUGUUGUAUUGUAUAAUAUCAUCUUUAAAAUAUAACAUAUGUCAUGUUAGAGUCACAGCAUAAUAUGAACUUGCUUAACUCAGAGAUUGUUAAAAAUCUGGUAGUUAAUUUUAAUAAAUGUUUAUUUAUUUUGUA
This is a long non-coding RNA of Diabrotica virgifera virgifera (western corn rootworm), 1267 nucleotides long. RefSeq lists it as uncharacterized. The transcript is spliced from 2 exons. The record is from RefSeq and is a predicted model, not a curated record. Lineage: Eukaryota; Metazoa; Arthropoda; Insecta; Coleoptera; Chrysomelidae.